RNAcentral lists this ribosomal RNA (402 nucleotides) under uncultured bacterium. RNAcentral describes it as "bacterial SSU rRNA". It matches the Rfam family "Bacterial small subunit ribosomal RNA", at positions 358 to 774 of the family's 1533-position model. The record is from RNAcentral.
GGGAUAUUGCACAAUGGGGGAAACCCUGAUGCAGCAAUGCCGCGUGAGGGAAGACGGUCUUCGGAUUGUAAACCUAAGUUGUCAGGGACGAAAGAAAUGACGGUACCUGAAGAGAAAGCUCCUGCUAACUACGUGCCAGCAGCCGCGGUAAUACGUAGGGAGCGAGCGUUGUCCGGAAUUACUGGGUGUAAAGGGUGCGUAGGCGGGUUUGCAAGUCAGACGUGAAAUACCGGGGCUCAACUCCGGGGCUGCGUUUGAAACUGCAAAUCUUGAGUGAAGUAGAGGUAGGCGGAAUUCCUAGUGUAGCGGUGAAAUGCGUAGAUAUUAGGAGGAACACCAGUGGCGAAGGCGGCCUACUGGGCUUUAACUGACGCUGAGGCACGAAAGCGUGGGGAGCAAACA